UACGGGGGGGGCAAGCGUUGUUCGGAAUUACUGGGCGUAAAGGGCGCGUAGGCGGCCGCCUAAGUCAGACGUGAAAUCCCUCGGCUCAACCGGGGAACUGCGUCUGAUACUGGGAGGCUUGAAUCCGGGAGAGGAAUGUGGAAUUCCAGGUGUAGCGGUGAAAUGCGUAGAUAUCUGGAGGAACACCGGUGGCGAAGGCGGCAUUCUGGACCGGUAUUGACGCUGAGGCGCGAAAGCCAGGGGAGCAAACGGG
This 253-nucleotide ribosomal RNA is filed under the name uncultured bacterium. RNAcentral's name for it is "partial 16S ribosomal RNA". It matches the Rfam family "Bacterial small subunit ribosomal RNA", at positions 524 to 776 of the family's 1533-position model. The record is from RNAcentral.